This 158-nucleotide ribosomal RNA is filed under the name Porpidia sp. UR00029. RNAcentral describes it as "5.8S ribosomal RNA". It matches the Rfam family "5.8S ribosomal RNA". From Rfam's summary of the family: 5.8S ribosomal RNA (5.8S rRNA) is a component of the large subunit of the eukaryotic ribosome. It is transcribed by RNA polymerase I as part of the 45S precursor that also contains 18S and 28S rRNA. Functionally, it is thought that 5.8S rRNA may be involved in ribosome translocation. Lineage: Eukaryota; Fungi; Ascomycota; Lecanoromycetes; Lecideales; Lecideaceae. The record is from RNAcentral.
AAAACUUUCAACAACGGAUCUCUUGGUUCUGGCAUCGAUGAAGAACGCAGCGAAAUGCGAUAAGUAAUGUGAAUUGCAGAAUUUAGUGAAUCAUCGAAUCUUUGAACGCACAUUGCGCCCCUUGGUAUUCCGAGGGGCAUGCCUGUUCGAGCGUCAUU